GGGGUCCUAGUGUAGCUUGGUAUCACUCCAGCCCGGGGCGCUGGCAACCGGGGUUCGAAUCCUCGGGACCCCA
This 73-nucleotide transfer RNA is filed under the name Candidatus Woesearchaeota archaeon. Its description in RNAcentral is "tRNA-Pro". It matches the Rfam family "tRNA". From Rfam's summary of the family: Transfer RNA (tRNA) molecules are approximately 80 nucleotides in length. Their secondary structure includes four short double-helical elements and three loops (D, anti-codon, and T loops). Further hydrogen bonds mediate the characteristic L-shaped molecular structure. tRNAs have two regions of fundamental functional importance: the anti-codon, which is responsible for specific mRNA codon recognition, and the 3' end, to which the tRNAs corresponding amino acid is attached (by aminoacyl-tRNA synthetases). tRNAs cope with the degeneracy of the genetic code in two manners: having more than one tRNA (with a specific anti-codon) for a particular amino acid; and 'wobble' base-pairing, i.e. permitting non-standard base-pairing at the 3rd anti-codon position. Lineage: Archaea; Nanobdellati; Candidatus Woesearchaeota. The record is from RNAcentral.